GACGAACGCUGGCGGCGUGCUUAACACAUGCAAGUCGAACGAACCUUUCGGGGUUAGUGGCGGACGGGUGAGUAACACGUGGGAACGUGCCUUUAGGUUCGGAAUAACUCAGGGAAACUUGUGCUAAUACCGAAUGUGCCCUUCGGGGGAAAGAUUUAUCGCCUUUAGAGCGGCCCGCGUCUGAUUAGCUAGUUGGUUGAGGUAAUGGCUCACCAAGGCGACGAUCAGUAGCUGGUCUGAGAGGAUGAUCAGCCACAUUGGGACUGAGACACGGCCCAAACUCCUACGGGAGGCAGCAGUGGGGAAUCUUGCGCAAUGGGCGAAAGCAUGACGCAGCCAUGCCGCGUGAAUGAUGAAGGUCUUAGGAUUGUAAAAUUCUUUCACCGGGGACGAUAAUGACGGUACCCGGAGAAGAAGCCCCGGCUAACUUCGUG
This 434-nucleotide ribosomal RNA is filed under the name uncultured bacterium. RNAcentral's name for it is "partial 16S ribosomal RNA". It matches the Rfam family "Bacterial small subunit ribosomal RNA", at positions 28 to 507 of the family's 1533-position model. The record is from RNAcentral.